Molecule: ribosomal RNA, 418 nt
Filed under: uncultured bacterium
Lineage: Bacteria
Description: bacterial SSU rRNA
Rfam family: Bacterial small subunit ribosomal RNA
Source: RNAcentral
GAUGAACGCUAGCUACAGGCUUAACACAUGCAAGUCGAGGGGCAGCGGGAUUGUAGCAAUACAAUUGCCGGCGACCGGCGCACGGGUGAGUAACACGUAUCCAACCUUCCGGUUACUCGGGGAUAGCCUUUCGAAAGAAAGAUUAAUACCCGAUGGCAUAGUUCUUCCGCAUGGUAGAACUAUUAAAGAAUUUCGGUCAUCGAUGGGGAUGCGUUCCAUUAGGUUGUUGGCGGGGUAACGGCCCACCAAGCCUUCGAUGGAUAGGGGGUUCUGAGAGGAAGGUCCCCCCACAUUGGAACUGAGACACGGUCCAAACUCCUACGGGAGCAGCAGUGAGGAAUAUUGGUCAAUGGACGAGAGUCUGAACCAGCCAAGUAGCGUGAAGGAUGACUGCCCUAUGGGUUGUAAACUUCUUUUA